RNAcentral lists this ribosomal RNA (180 nucleotides) under uncultured Glomeromycotina. RNAcentral's name for it is "partial small subunit ribosomal RNA". Lineage: Eukaryota; Fungi; Glomeromycota. The record is from RNAcentral.
GGGUUAGUAAGUUGGUCGUGCCACUGGUAUGUACUGGCUUUACUGAUUCCUCCUUCUUGUAGAACCGUAAUGCCAUUAAGUUGGUGUUGCGGGGAAACAGGACUGUUACUUUGAAAAAAUUAGAGUGUUCAAAGCAGUCGUUUUACGACCGAAUAGCUUAGCAUGGAAUAAUGGAAUAGG